CCAUGCCUGGUAGCUACCCUUGCCUCCUGGCAGGCAUGCAUCUGGAAAUUUUUUGGAUAACUCUAUGGCUUUUGUCUACCUCCUGAGAGAGUUUUGGUUCUUGAUAGCAGCCCCAGAUUCCUCUAUGGCUGGCACCUGGGAACUUUUUUUUUCUUUUGGAGGUAUGUCCGUGCCUUUUAUUUCCCCUUUAUUCUUACCGAUCAUGCCUUUGUAACUGUUUUGUAUGACUGUAUGGCUUUUGGCUACCUUCUCUGAGUUAUUUCCUUCUGAAUAUUUGCCCCGGAUUCCUCCAGGUCAGGUACCUGAGAUCUUUUUUCUCUUUUGAAUGUACGUGUUGUGUGCCACUUCGUGACGCGUCCAUGACACCCCGGGGUUCAUCUCCAAUCUUUAGGGGUUCAUGAACGGCCGUUGCUGCCUUUGUACGCAGUUUUCCUUUCAUUACAAGGUGAGACGCUGAGUUUUGCAGGGAAAUGCUGUGGAUUUUUUCUAAUUAAGCUUUCUGAAGGCCAUGGUUGUUUUUUUUCCUACAGUAUUUUCCUGGAGACCUGGGCCAGAAGCUUUUGAAAGUGAACACUAAACAUAGCUUAUUUAAUCAACAGAGCAAGAAGGUGUCACAAGACAGAUGAAAGAGAUGGUGUGACAGAUAGCCAGAAUAAACUACUUAUGGCACUGCAUCAGGAGAAAACAACCACAAUAGCAGUCUUCCAAAUGUCCAAGAGGUUUGCAAGGCUACAUUAAUGACUCACCAGUUAUUAAUACCAUAUUUAGUGAAGAUGACCAGAAAGCUAGUGGAGGAACUUCUUUGUUUGAAGAAAGAAACCUUAAGAAGAUGUAGUUCCAUGCAUCUCAUGAAUAAACAAUUCGAAAAGUUAUUGAAGCAUCUGAAGUGGCCAUCACAUUCUGGACAGCAUUAA
This 914-nucleotide long non-coding RNA is filed under the name Anser cygnoides (Swan goose). RNAcentral's name for it is "lncRNA (ENSACDG00005011475.1)". Lineage: Eukaryota; Metazoa; Chordata; Aves; Anseriformes; Anatidae. The record is from RNAcentral.